GGGUGUAUGCCUACUUUUCGAGUCUUGCCCCAGUGCCGGAUGUGGAGAUCUCCCUCGACGUUCCAUAUUCUCAUCGCUAUAACGUGAGGUGUGAGCGGAGGCCACGGGAGUCUUUCCUGUUUUUUCGCAGAUACUUCGACACCAUCACUGCCAUAGAGCCCUGGGCCGCAUUGCCGGACGCGGGGAGGGACCAGUACGCAGGUGCUCAGAAGACUGCCCGGUUCAAGAUUUGCUAGAGGGUCCAGUCUACUGGGCUUGGUAUUUCGGAGAGCGCUUCUUGAGGUAGACCCUCGGCCUACCAGAGCAGAUAGUUCCAAGGCCACCUCUUACCCAUACAAGGGCUACCGAGAGGUACACCCUGGAGAAGAUGAUGGACUUCACUAUCGGCUGGGAUUCGGACCUUUUCCGAGAUGAGGGCGACUACACCGAGUUCAUCUAGGCUUAUCUCAUGUGGCCUUUGACCGGUGCUCGCCGAGUCGAGAGAGAGAGGCCUGCAACGCCAGCGGCAGGAGCAAGGGCACUGAGGGCGACCCAGGCCCAUAGCACGAGUGGGUCCCAGAGGAGACAGGGAGUCGGGUGGGCCAGCACUGCCCACCACCAUGACAUGCCGAGGACAGGGUGGGGAGACUUACCAGAUACCCAUUGCUCCUCCUCCGGCUGAUCAUGAGCUUGUCGGAGUUCGCGACUCGACCCCGGCCUCCGUAGAGUAUACUGGACAAUCCCUGGAGCUGGCAGCCUCAGGGAUGUGGAUGCUGCAGAGGAGCAUCGACCCGUUGGCCAUCUAUGGUAUCCUAGCCCCAUUCUAGGUGUCGGCCACAGGGGGUGCCGCAACGGGACCAUCAGUGCCUCCCAGGGCAGCCGGGGGCGCCAGACGAUGGAUGACGAUACAUAGCCGGGGCAGGCACAGGCGUACUCAUGCUGAGAACAGUUCACGGCAGCUUACCCCAGAUGAUGAUGAGUCUGAUGUCGAGGCAGAGUCGUCUCAGGAUGAGGCUGGGGAUGGCUCAUACAGCGGAGGUGACGGCGAUGAUCCUGGACCUUCGUCCAGGAAGAGGACGAUGACAGACUCUUGCACUUGAGGCGACUGGCACCGAUCCAGACAUUUUGUUGAUUCAUAUGUUGCUUUUCUUUCUUUUGCUUUAUUCAGACAUUUUAUUGCUUUUCUCAUUUUUUGUUUUAUUUUCCUUUUUACUAGCAGUUUUGCACAUUGUACUGCG
Molecule: long non-coding RNA, 1217 nt
Organism: Camellia sinensis
Lineage: Eukaryota; Viridiplantae; Streptophyta; Magnoliopsida; Ericales; Theaceae
Source: RefSeq, a predicted model, not a curated record